UCACCCCCUGUGAGUGGCACAUACCCAGCCAAUGACUGACUGGAUCACCCCAGGAAUGUUGUACUCCUGCAGGCGAAACAGGUCCGAGGGCUCACAGUCCACAGUGAAGCUGUUGGUGUCAUUGUUGUACUCCACAGGGCAGACAAAGCAUCUGUACCCGGACAUCACAUAGGACAGCUGAGGAGGAAUAACAGAGAGACCGGCAAGGAGGUUGUGGAUAACAAGAUGUGACUGUGUUACAACAAUCAGCAAUGUCACAUGGGUCCAGCCAAACUGCAAAAAAAAGAAAAAUAAACACUACUUACCAGUUUACCUUGAAAGUAACUUCAAAGAACAAUCA
RNAcentral lists this long non-coding RNA (340 nucleotides) under Homo sapiens (human). RNAcentral's name for it is "HSALNT0263787". The record is from RNAcentral. Lineage: Eukaryota; Metazoa; Chordata; Mammalia; Primates; Hominidae.